RNAcentral lists this ribosomal RNA (496 nucleotides) under uncultured bacterium. RNAcentral describes it as "partial 16S ribosomal RNA". It matches the Rfam family "Bacterial small subunit ribosomal RNA", at positions 30 to 523 of the family's 1533-position model. The record is from RNAcentral.
AUUGAACGCUGGCGGCAUGCCUUACACAUGCAAGUCGAACGGUAGAGGGGGCAACCCCUCGAGAGUGGCGAACGGGUGAGUAAUAUAUCGGAACGUGCCCAGUCGUGGGGGAUAACGUAGCGAAAGUUACGCUAAUACCGCAUACGAUCUAAGGAUGAAAGCGGGGGAUCGCAAGACCUCGCGCGAUUGGAGCGGCCGAUAUCAGAUUAGGUAGUUGGUGGGGUAAAGGCUCACCAAGCCAACGAUCUGUAGCUGGUCUGAGAGGACGACCAGCCACACUGGAACUGAGACACGGUCCAGACUCCUACGGGAGGCAGCAGUGGGGAAUUUUGGACAAUGGACGCAAGUCUGAUCCAGCCAUUCCGCGUGCAGGAUGAAGGCCCUCGGGUUGUAAACUGCUUUUGUACGGAACGAAAAGGUCUCUCUUAAUACGGGGGACUCAUGACGGUACCGUAAGAAUAAGCACCGGCUAACUACGUGCCAGCCGCCGCGGUAA